This 379-nucleotide long non-coding RNA is filed under the name Citrus sinensis (sweet orange). Its description in RNAcentral is "long non-coding RNA (CSIN_LNC002673)". The record is from RNAcentral. Lineage: Eukaryota; Viridiplantae; Streptophyta; Magnoliopsida; Sapindales; Rutaceae.
UGUCACGCGCUGGUGGACUAGGGUAAUUGGGGUUGUACAGGUUGUAGUGGACGCGCGGCAGGAGUCCAUGCAGAGGGGAGAUGGAGUCAUCCUGAUGAGCGGUGGUGGGGAUGCCGACGAAGUGUUGAGUGUGGGAAGGUGGCGGCGGCGCGUGAGGGGAGAUGGCAGAGGAGUUGAGGAAAAUGAGGCUGUUGUGAGCCGGCGCCGGCGCCGGAGGAUGAUUUGUGUCGGAGAAUUGUUGGUGUUGCUGUUGUUGUUGUUGAACGUAAGUUGUAGGGUUCAUAAGUACGAGGGUUUGAAGCCCAUCUGGGGCUUGAAACUCAGCUGGGUUCCCAUGAAAGUACGUUGCCAUCCUGUUACCUUAUUAUUUUGAUCUUGA